AGGAGCAACAGCCCCAGUGGCGGGGCCAGCUCUGGAAUCCUGGAUUCAGCUCCGGCAGGAACUCCGGAGCUCUCGGUCUGCAGGGCCUGGAGGCACCGGGGCGGG
This 105-nucleotide microRNA precursor is filed under the name Canis lupus familiaris (dog). RNAcentral describes it as "mir-8834 microRNA precursor family". It matches the Rfam family "mir-8834 microRNA precursor family". The record is from Rfam by way of RNAcentral. Lineage: Eukaryota; Metazoa; Chordata; Mammalia; Carnivora; Canidae. RNAcentral also lists the same sequence under 1 other name.